This 91-nucleotide small nuclear RNA is filed under the name Moschus moschiferus (Siberian musk deer). Lineage: Eukaryota; Metazoa; Chordata; Mammalia; Artiodactyla; Moschidae. The record is from RNAcentral.
GUGCUUAUUUUGGCACAUAUAUACUAAAACCAGAACAAUACAGAGAUUAGCAUGGCCCCUGCACAAGGAUGACAAGAAAAUUCCUAUUUUU